UGGGGAAUCUUGCGCAAUGGGCGGAAGCCUGACGCAGCAACGCCGCGUGUGGGAAGACGGCUUUCGGGUUGUAAACCACUUUCAGGGGGGACGAAGCUUCCGAGGUUAAUAGCCUACGGGGUGACGGUACCCCCAGAAGAAGCCCCGGCUAACUACGUGCCAGCAGCCGCGGUAAUACGUAGGGGGCGAGCGUUGUCCGGAAUCAUUGGGCGUAAAGCGCGUGUAGGCGGCUUGAUAAGUCUGGUGUGAAAUCUUGGGGCUUAACCCCAAGCCUGCACUGGAUACUGUCAAGCUUGAGUCCGGGAGGGGAGAGCGGAAUUCCUAGUGUAGCGGUGAAAUGCGCAGAUAUUAGGAAGAACACCGGUGGCGAAGGCGGCUCUCUGGAACGGUACUGACGCUGAGACGCGAAAGCGUGGGGAGCGAACAGG
RNAcentral lists this ribosomal RNA (428 nucleotides) under uncultured Actinomycetes bacterium. RNAcentral describes it as "bacterial SSU rRNA". It matches the Rfam family "Bacterial small subunit ribosomal RNA", at positions 355 to 776 of the family's 1533-position model. Lineage: Bacteria; Bacillati; Actinomycetota; Actinomycetes. The record is from RNAcentral.